UCCACUGCUUAGUUGGUAAAGAAUAAAGCUCUUAACCUUAUGGACGUGGGUUCAAGCCCCAUGGUGGAG
This 69-nucleotide transfer RNA is filed under the name Triticum aestivum (bread wheat). It matches the Rfam family "tRNA". Rfam says of the family: Transfer RNA (tRNA) molecules are approximately 80 nucleotides in length. Their secondary structure includes four short double-helical elements and three loops (D, anti-codon, and T loops). Further hydrogen bonds mediate the characteristic L-shaped molecular structure. tRNAs have two regions of fundamental functional importance: the anti-codon, which is responsible for specific mRNA codon recognition, and the 3' end, to which the tRNAs corresponding amino acid is attached (by aminoacyl-tRNA synthetases). tRNAs cope with the degeneracy of the genetic code in two manners: having more than one tRNA (with a specific anti-codon) for a particular amino acid; and 'wobble' base-pairing, i.e. permitting non-standard base-pairing at the 3rd anti-codon position. Lineage: Eukaryota; Viridiplantae; Streptophyta; Magnoliopsida; Poales; Poaceae. RNAcentral also lists the same sequence under 1 other name. The record is from Rfam by way of RNAcentral.